UACAGAGGGGGCAAGCGUUGUUCGGAAUUACUGGGCGUAAAGGGCGCGUAGGCGGCCUUCUAAGUCGAACGUGAAAUCCCCGGGCUCAACCCGGGAACUGCGUCCGAUACUGGAAGGCUUGAAUCCGGGAGAGGGAUGCGGAAUUCCAGGUGUAGCGGUGAAAUGCGUAGAUAUCUGGAGGAACACCGGUGGUGAAGGCGGGACUCUGGGCCGAUACUGACGCUGAGGAGCGAAAGCGUGGGGAGCGAACAGG
This 253-nucleotide ribosomal RNA is filed under the name uncultured bacterium. RNAcentral's name for it is "partial 16S ribosomal RNA". It matches the Rfam family "Bacterial small subunit ribosomal RNA", at positions 524 to 776 of the family's 1533-position model. The record is from RNAcentral.